This 405-nucleotide ribosomal RNA is filed under the name Benthoecetes bartletti. Its description in RNAcentral is "partial 12S ribosomal RNA". Lineage: Eukaryota; Metazoa; Arthropoda; Malacostraca; Decapoda; Benthesicymidae. The record is from RNAcentral.
UGAAACCAGGAUUAGAUACCCUGUUACUCUUUAUUUUAAAUUAUAGGUAUCUGGGUAUUAAACAGUUAUUGUCUUGAAACUCAAAGGAUUUGGCGGUAAUCUAGUCUAUUUAGAGGAACCUGUCCCGUAAUCGAUAAACCACGUAGAAUCUUGCCCUAUUUUGUAGAUUCAGCUUGUAUACCGUCAUUAUUAGGUAACUUUAAUAAAAAUUAGUUGCUGUAAUAGUUGUUUAUUAGUAUAUUAGAUCAAGGUGCAGCUUAUAGUAGGGUGGAGAUGGGUUACAAUAAGAUGUCUUUAGACGAAUUAAAAGAGUAUGUGUUUUUAUGAAGGUGGAUUUAAUUGUAGAAAGAUUUUAAUAUGUUCUUUCGAUUUUAGCUCUAGGUUAUGUACAUAUCGCCGUCGCUA